RNAcentral lists this long non-coding RNA (292 nucleotides) under Vitis vinifera (wine grape). RNAcentral's name for it is "long non-coding RNA (VVIN_LNC006811)". The record is from RNAcentral. Lineage: Eukaryota; Viridiplantae; Streptophyta; Magnoliopsida; Vitales; Vitaceae.
GGAAUAGGAGCACACCUUUGACAUUUAUCACACUUUUUGACAUAUGCUGCCGAAUCCUUUUUCAUCGUGGGCCAAUAAUAUCCUUGUGAAUGAGCUCUAUGUGCCAGAGAUCGUCCUCUUGAAUGAUUUCCGCAUAUUCCUUCAUGCAACUCAGCUAAUACGUACUAGGCCUCUGAUUGUCUUAGGCACCGAAGGUAGGGUCUUGUGAAGGAUCGCUUGUACAAGUGCCCCUCGAUUAUGGUGAAACGGACAGCUUGCACGCGGACCUUGUGCGCUCGUUUGGGAUCUUUGG